CGUCCGGUCCCUGCCACCCCACCCUCUUCCCGGGUUCUCAUUGCUGCUUUUAUGUCCUGCAAGAAGCCUAAAUAAGUAUGUCCAGUUUUGCUUUGGACAGCACUCUGGGGAGCCCUGAAUUCUAUGAAAAGCACAGAUAAGAAAAUUAACUACAGAGGCUAUAGUUGCUGCUGUUUUGAGUCAAUGGGAAUGUCGCAAAAAUGAAUUUAAACUCCAGUUUUAAUUGGAGAGAUGGUGCGUGAUAGUUUGAAGAAAACUGAAGGGAUGUUUUCCUGUUAAGACUGAAGAGAAGCCAAAGAAGCUAAAAUUCUCUUGAAAGAAGAUGGAGGGAUCUUCUUUCCUAAUAAAACCAUAAGAACUUUUAUCUUGCAACAGGGAUUAAGAGUCUUGCAAAGAGACUUUAUUUGCAAUACUAAAUGAACUAUCUGUACACAUAUAUUGUAUCUAGGAUAUACUGUGACCUAUUUAACAUGUAUAGGACUGCUUGGCAUCUGGGGGAGGGGGUGGAGGGAGGGAGGGGAAAAGUCGGAACAGAAGUGAGUGCAAGGGAUAAUGCUGUAAAAAAUUACCCAGGCAUAUGUUGUGUCAAUAAAAAGUUAUAAUUAUUUAAAAAAAAUACUGAAUGAGCUAAAUCAUGCGGAACUAUGUACUGAGGUUACAUGAAGGUUUGAAGUAACUGGUUAUAACCACUUUCACAAAUAAAAUAUUGUAAAUAAUUAUCUACAUUUUUGUUUCAUUGUCAAUAUUAUUAAUAAAUUGUAUAUGCAAUUCUUUACUAUUUCUUUACUUCUAAGAGGUUAAGGGAUUUGAUUUUUUAAAAUUAAAGCUUUUUAUUUUAAAAAUAUAUGCACAGAUAAUUUUCAACAUUC
Sarcophilus harrisii (Tasmanian devil) is the source of this 869-nucleotide long non-coding RNA. Lineage: Eukaryota; Metazoa; Chordata; Mammalia; Dasyuromorphia; Dasyuridae. The record is from Ensembl.